ACGGGUAUUCUUGGGUAAAUAACAUACCAUCAAAUGUUAUUGCUUGAGAAUACACGUAG
Molecule: microRNA precursor, 59 nt
Filed under: Eisenia fetida (common brandling worm)
Lineage: Eukaryota; Metazoa; Annelida; Clitellata; Crassiclitellata; Lumbricidae
Description: Efe-Mir-137-P7_pre stem-loop
Rfam family: mir-137 microRNA precursor family
Source: RNAcentral